Molecule: ribosomal RNA, 253 nt
Filed under: uncultured bacterium
Lineage: Bacteria
Description: partial 16S ribosomal RNA
Rfam family: Bacterial small subunit ribosomal RNA
Source: RNAcentral
UACGUAGGGGGCAAGCGUUGUCCGGAGUUACUGGGCGUAAAGCGCACGCAGGCGGUCUGUUAAGUUUGGAGUGACAGUUGGUGGCUUAACUGCCAAAGUGCUUCGAAAACUGAUCGACUUGAGGGCUUCAGAGGGACACGGAAUUCCGGGUGGAGUGGUGAAAUGCGUAGAGAUCCGGAGGAACACCGAAGGCGAAGGCAGUGUCCUGGGGAGUACCUGACGCUCAGGUGCGAAAGCCAGGGGAGCGAACGGG